This 2222-nucleotide long non-coding RNA is filed under the name Vitis vinifera (wine grape). RNAcentral describes it as "long non-coding RNA (VVIN_LNC000385)". Lineage: Eukaryota; Viridiplantae; Streptophyta; Magnoliopsida; Vitales; Vitaceae. The record is from RNAcentral.
ACAGCCUUCAGAGGAGGAUUCAUCCUUGAGAAAAUCAUGGGCCCAAUCUCCACGGGCCAUCUGGAGCUCCAAAGCCGCAACCCCAACGACAACCCCUCCGUAACAUUCAACUACUUCAAAGAGCCUGAGGACUUACAGAGAUGUGUUAAUGGCAUGCAAAUCAUUGAAAAAAUAAUAGAGUCAAAGGCAUUCUCCCAAUUCAAAUAUGAUUACUUAUCAGUCCCAGCAUUGAUCAACAUGACCCUCAAUUUCCCAGUCAACUUGGUGCCAAGGCAUGAUAAUGCUUCCACCUCCCUAGAGCAGUUCUGUAAGGACACCGUGAUGACUAUAUGGCAUUAUCAUGGAGGCUGCCAAGUUGGUAGCGUGGUGGAUCAUGAUUAUAAGGUUCUUGGCGUUGAUGCCCUACGAGUCAUCGAUGGAUCAACCUUCAACGCCUCUCCUGGGACUAAUCCUCAGGCCACCGUCAUGAUGCUUGGAAGGUAUAUACAUCUAAAUAUUACAUCCUACUCAAUUGAUAUUGAAAUAAUCCUAGACCAUAUCAGCAUAUGUUACUACUCGAGAGAUGAUGCUUGAUUUUUUAUGGCGCAGGUACAUGGGACUAAGGAUUCUGAGCGAGAGACUUGCGAGUGAUUUGUCCAAGUAGAUGGACGAUGAGCAUCAGUACUUGUUUUAUUUUUUAUGGAGAUUCAUGCGCUUGAGUUAGAGGAAUUGAUCAGUUGGGAGUUGAUAAUAGUUUGAAGCAACUCUUGGUCUAGAAAGAGGUUAAUUGAGAAUGAAAAAUGUGUUCAGUCCUUGUUUGCUCUUUAAUACUACAUUAGUUACGGUUGUGCAUGGAGAUUUAUUUCCUUGUUGAAACUUGUUAGUGGAUUGAUUAAAGGUUGGUUUGCUUGUCGACAAUUGUUUGUGAAGGUAGUCAACAUGAUGAAGGAAAAUGAACAUGGAUUUAGGAUGGGUAAAUCUUAAGAAAAUUAAAUGCCCCUAGCUAGCUAGGUCCAAUAUUUUAAAUAAAUGGGUACUAUAUAACAAUGCAUUAUAAACAUUGAUGUCUGAAAUAUAAUGAAGGUAGUAACACCUCAAAGUAUAGAAGUCAUAAAAGAACGAUCUUUGGUGUAGUUAAAUUAUAGGGACAAUGCUAUUGUAGAAAUGAUCAGAAAAUUCAAAAAGUUGCAUAAAGAAAAUCCACUGGCAACAGGCUAGAGCUGAAAGCUCUUGAAAUAAUGGUAGAGUUGAAGCCAAAGUAGAUAAAUUAGGUGAUGAAUAUUUGACAGAAAACUGUGAAAGGUAAUGAAUAUAUGAGAGAAAAGAAGGAAAAAGUAAAGAUUUGAAAUAAGGAUAGAAUAUAUGGGGUCUACCCAUUACUCUACAACUAAUGGGAAUUGGUUAGAACCAAUCUGCAAAUAUCUAAGUUCAACUUCACAUGGGAUCAUAAUGAAACAAACAGUUGUCAGAUUCUGAGAGAGGAAAGGUUAGAUUAGACAUGUCCAUAAGUUAGUGAUGAAGUAGGUAACACUCCUAUUAAAGGGCUGAGUUAGAAGAACAACUCAACAUCAGAUACUAAAAAUUUCAACUUAUUCAGACCAAAUGAAUGAUGGUUUCUCAAACAAAUUAAUGCAAUCGAUCGAGGAUUGAUACCAAUUUUUGUUUUCUUAGUAAAAGAACAAACAGAGAUAUGUGCACCUUCAUAGGCCAGAUACAUGGAAGACAAAAGCAUUUGAAGACUAUGGGCAUUGUCCUGAUUGGACAAAAAUAACAUUGGAUCCAAGGUUGUGUUGAAUUCAGAGUCACCCAAAAGACGAAAACAUAAAGCACAAUAAAAAAACGAGAGGAAUAUGACACAGAAUAUACCUUGAGGGCCAGAAUUUCUUGCCUCCUUCUGUAAGCGAAAGAGGGCAUCUCUCCUCUGGACUGCUUUUUCUCAUCCUCCCUGAUCCAAACAGAUAUGGAGGAAAAAAAACAUUCAUGGGUCGAAAUCAUGCUAUGUAGAAUCUCAAACAUUAGUAAGAAGCUUUUGAUCAGACAAGAGCCUUUGCAUGGAAUGCUAACUUUAAGAGAAGGCAUCAAAGGAUAUCCCUGGCAUAACCCUCUAGCAUAUGCCAUUUCUCAAUGGCUUAUUCCAUAGCUAGGCCUCGAAAAGAAGAGCUUUCUGGACUAUAUAUAUGUGAAGCUCAAGGGUCCCCUAAUUGGCAUAACCCAGAUGAUCAUGUGGCGAGCGGACAGUGUUC